This 325-nucleotide long non-coding RNA is filed under the name Ananas comosus (pineapple). RNAcentral's name for it is "long non-coding RNA (ACOM_LNC032364)". Lineage: Eukaryota; Viridiplantae; Streptophyta; Magnoliopsida; Poales; Bromeliaceae. The record is from RNAcentral.
CGAAACUUUAUCCAGAUUUCGAAUCCGAACGGAGCAAAUUUAUCUGAUGUUUUUUUGAGAGAGAUAGGUAGCACGCUACCAGCUUUGUUUAUUUCAUUUAGAAAUAAACUUAGCUGGAAAUGUGAAUCAAUUAGGAUUUGAACUUGGGUCUCGGAUACCAACCACCAAGCCUUUUGCCACUUGCUCUAGGGACGGUUGGUCAAAUUUAUCCGAUGUUAAACAAAUAUAGUUUUGAGUAUAGAUAUAAAAGACGAAAUAUGACUGAUUUGAAUUCGGGUAUAGAUUUUUGUAUAUAUCCGAUCAGCACCCGGAUCCGCUCCUUUUG